GAACAACCAUUCAAGAUAUGAAGGUUUUGCACAAAGGGCAUAUGGAUACUUACAUUCUUUGGAAAUCUUAUAAAUGACAAUUCUCCUACUUUAAUUAUAAAUAGAAAGGAACAUUUCUAGAAUUCAUUCUUUCCUCUUUGCACAAUGAUAAGCAACAUGUGGCUGAUUCACAACUUCUGAAGGACAAAUGCAUUACAUAACAUCAAAACAGGAUACUUACACAAGGGAUGUCAAGAGUUAUAUAGCUAGUAGCCUGGAACAAAUCAAAUACGAAGCAAAGCUAAGGAUUGUGAUCACCACCGUUUUUGAAGAAGGCUGUUGUUUCCUGACCCCAAUACAACAAUCCAUUGGCUGUCUUAUCAACAAAACUAAAGCACACGUCGCUCCAGGUUCUUUGAACUAUCAAAAUGAAGCAAGGAACCAAUAUGCCAGCUGCAAAUCCCAACCCAACUGCCAAAUAGAACCACUUGUCAACACUGUAACCAUCAGCAAUUGCACUCUCAGCAGUUCCUGCACUAGUUGGAUAGUCACCUGGACAUUGACCAACAAGAGGAGCUCCACAAAGGCCAGGGUUACCCGGGAAAGAGGAUGACUCAAAAGUUGUCAGGUGCCCAACAAAAGAAAUUCUACCUGAGAAAUUGUUGUUUGAUAAGUUCAAGUAUCCCAAGAAUGAUAAGGAAGACAUGCUUGAAGGAAUUGGACCUGAAAGCACAUUUCUUGAGAGAUCAAGAGAUGACAACUGAUGCAAUUUUGAAAUGUUUUCAUUUAUCUGGCUAUUGAGAUUAUUUCCUGACAGGUUCAAAACCACCAACCCUGCCAAUCUUGUUAUUUCCUGGGGCAGCUUUCCAUGCAACCGAUUCCCAGAAAGGUCUAUGCAUGUUAGAAGGGAAAGAGUCUUUGUGAACCUUUGUGAUCCAGCUUUUAUAUUCACAACUAUACUUUCUUCAUAAUAGUGUCUCCCAAAAUUUGUCCCAUAAAACAAGUAUCUGUUGUUUUUUUCAGGUUGAGCCAUGGACUUGAGAUCACCCAAACUAGCUGGAAUUAUACCUUCCGACUCAUUUUCUGCAAGAUCCAGGAUUUGUAGAGAACCCAAACUUGAAAGACCAGAUGGUAGUUCUCCAGAAAAUGUAUUUGACCUCAAUCUGAGAAUUCUAAGAUUCUGGAAACCAUGUCCAAACCAUGAUGGAAUGUUACCAGUCAUCCAAUGUCUAGAGUUUCCAGAUUCAACAAAUUUUGGAAAGAUGAGGGAAUUUCUCCAAAGAUCAUGUUGUUGCUUAGGUGUAGUGUUUGGAGGAAAUUUAGCAAACCUAAAGAACCAGGAACCUCUCCUGGUAGUUAUUUUGAAUGUCUAAAACUUGUAGUUGACGACAGUUUGCCAUGUUUGAAGGAAUGCUUCCAGAUAAAUUGUUUCUUGAAAGAUCAAUGAUAAUCAAUGAAAAUGUUUGUCCAAUGGAAUCUGGGAUUUCACCAAUCAGUUGGUUUCCUGCAAAAGAAAGGAAUAUCCAGAACUGGGUGAAUCCACUUAUCAUUUUUGCGAUAGGACCUGAAAAUCGAUUAUCAGAAAGAUCUAAUACUUGAAUUCCAGCAAGUAGAAGAGGAAUAGGUCCUUCAAAGAGGUUGGAGCUCAAAUCAAGAAAUGCAACUUCUUGUAAAUUCAAUGGAUUUGGCAGUUGACCCUUUAACUGAUUGAAGGACAAAUUUAAGGAAUUGAGACCACCAGAAAUAUCCCAAAACCAGCUGGGUAUGGAACCUGAAAGACUAGCAUUUGAGAAGUCAAGAUAAGAUAGAUUACUUUGAUAUUUAAGCCAAGCAGGGAAUGAAGGGCCCAGAAGGAAGGAAGCCAUAUCAAGUGACUGGAGCUGAAAUGGAGAGAUCCAAUUUGAACUGGCAUUCAAGACCAAAGAGUUGGAAAAAAAACACAAGGACUGCAAUUAUUUAACUUUGAAAAGUGGGAUUCUGAGAUUACACCAGUCAAACAGUUGAAGGAGACAUCUAGGACAGACAACAUUAAAACCCGUGCCAAACUAUAUGGGAGAGAUUCAGUUAACUGAUUGUCAGAGACAUCUAGGAUAGACAACUUAGGAAGCUGAAACAAAGUAUCUGAAAGAGUUCCAUUUAGUUCAUUUUUCCCAAGUAGGAGAGUAGUUAGACAUCUUAAUGCUCCCAAAUCAGGGAUGGGACCAUGGAACAAGUUAUAAUUCAGACAGCGUUCAACCAAGAUUUUGAAUCUGACCCAACCAAGUUGGCAAUUUACCAACCAAUCUACUUCUCCUCAGUAGCAAGUACUGCAAACUUGGAACAGGACUUUUGGAAAGGCAAUCAUCUGUUCCUUCAAGGAUUUCGGGUAAACUACCCUUCAAAUUAUUAUUUGAUAAAUCAAAAUAUUUCAGAUUACAAAGUUUAGCUAUUGAGCUCGGAAACUCACCCUCAAUAUUAUUGGAGAACAAAAAAAAGUUGAGUGAGUGAUGUAAUAUUUCCAAUGGAGGCAGGUAGCUUACCAUACACAUUAUUGAUGCCCAAAUUAAGAACUUCCAAGUUUUUCCAGCUUCCCUGGAACAGUGGACUGCUAUUAGCUUUUAGAUGGUUGAAUUCAACAUGCAAGAACUGCAAAAUUGGCAGCAUGCUUAAAGCAAGUGGAAUGCUUCCAUGCAACUGGCUAUAUCAGAUGUCAACAUACACAAGGCUGCUGAUAUUCACAAGCCAGUUCGGGAACUCUGCAAAGAACUUAUUAAAACUGAGGUCUAUCACAGCAAGUGAUUGACAAAGUUAAGAAAUGAAUUAGAAUCAAUCAGGUCACAAAACUGCAAGUGCAGCUCAGUUAUAUGUGAAAGCCUGUUCAAUGCUCCAACCCACUCUGACCCAGAGGAUGAUAGGUCAACUCCAUUAAGCGCUAAAUAUUUCAAAGAUGUAAGACCAGUCAUCCAUUCAAGGUUGUCAACAGUUAAACAGUUGUUAGAGGCAUUGAAAUACUGCAGUGCAGAGAUAUUUCCCAAGUUUGGAGGAAUUUUGCCACCAAAGCCAGCAUCUGCUAGAUUUAGAUAUUGCAGUUUCUCCAAAGAUUGAAAGAAUUCAGGAAUUGGAAUUCCACUGAAUCCAUUAAGACUCAAGUCUAAAUGUCUCAAAUAAUUGAGUUUUAUCAAUGAAGGACUAAUUUUCCCACCUAAUGCAUACCUGGAAUAAUUGGGAUCUGAUGAUGGAAAAGGAUUGUGGAGGUCAAUUGCAAUAACAUCUCUAGUUUUAUUGUCACAACUUAUCCCUUCCCCUUGGCAACAGUUGUUUCCUCGCCAUGAUGAGAGUCGAUUCUCAGGAUCCUUUAGACCUUCUUUGAAAUCAAUAAGAGCUUCCCUGUCAGAGUCCAAGCAAUCCACCAACUGGGCAUUGCCAUUAUGGAUUCCUGCAAUCAAAAUGAAGAAAUGAAGAAUCAUUGAAAGAAAUGAUGAAAUGUCCAUAUGAAGCAUUGAAUUACAUUUGAGGUAGAUACAAGACAAUAUGCAUAUAAAUAGCCAUUUUUCGCAUUAAAAAAAAAUCAUUUUUUUAGCAGAUCUUAGGCUUGGAGCUUUCAUAUGCAUAGGUCCAAAGGAAAAAAAAAUAGAUGUAAAAGGAAUAUCAUUAUUCCUAGAAUAAAGGGAUAUGCUUAUGCUUACAAUAUUGAUGCAGAGUUAGGCUUGUAAUAAAGCUAAAACUUGUCGAACAUAGAUAUCUAUGAACAUUGUGACUUGGUUUUUUCUUUCUUAUUUUAGCAGAUAUACGUUUGAACACUUCAUUUUCCAUUAUAGAACAUUGGAAGCAGCAAAAAAGAAAAUAACAUAGCAAAGCAAACAAGAUAUCAGUUUCCUAAGUGUGCAUCAGGAUCAAAUUCAGACGGCCACUGAAGGACUGAUUCUCCAAAGGAAUUAAAACUUUUUUUGUCCUGUUCAGUUGGAAUCAGAAUGAUAUAUAAUUAUGACUUGAUAACAAUCUCUUGUCCUCUGUCAAAAGAAAAAGGCAAGUUAUGUGUCAAGAUUAUAAUAUUUGAGUUACCAGGAAAAGAAUUAACCUUGUAGCAACCACUUUUGUGAGAUCAUAUUAACUAAUGCUACUCUGUAUUGAAAAGCCAACUAUUAAAAAAAUAAUAGAAGAGAUAAAGCUAAUCCGCUUUCUUUCUUUUCUUUUUAACUUUUUUU
This 4163-nucleotide unclassified non-coding RNA is filed under the name Hevea brasiliensis (rubber tree). The record is from RNAcentral. Lineage: Eukaryota; Viridiplantae; Streptophyta; Magnoliopsida; Malpighiales; Euphorbiaceae.